This 933-nucleotide ribosomal RNA is filed under the name Triticum aestivum (bread wheat). RNAcentral's name for it is "partial small subunit ribosomal RNA". Lineage: Eukaryota; Viridiplantae; Streptophyta; Magnoliopsida; Poales; Poaceae. The record is from RNAcentral.
AUGCAGCCCAAGAUCAACACGUUCUUCAAGCGCCAGGCCACGGGGCCGGAUUCGAACAGCGAAGCGGCGGAGGCGAAGAGGCCCAAGAGCUGCGGCGACGGCAAGGUCCUCAACAAGAAGAGGAACUACGGGCAGUUCCACCUGGAGCUGGGGCAGCCUGAUUUCCUCCUCCACAUGUGCGCGGCCUGCGGCAUGAUGUACGCCCGCGGCAACGACGAGGACGAGAAGGUCCACAGGGCCUACCACAAGGGCUGCCUCGAGGGCGUCCCGUUCAAGGGUUGGCGCGAGGAAACCGUGGUUAUGAGGUCCGAGGGCGGUGACCGGAUAAUUCUAGCAAGCGGUGAAAACUCAUGUAUACGCAACAGCAAGGUUCAGGAGGUGAUCAAAGUGGUGGAGAAGGAGCUGGGGUUUGGUGAAGGCCAGCUCCUUCAUAAGCUCUGCAAGGUGUAUCUGUUUGUAUCUGGCGGGAGGAUAGCGGGGUGUCUAGUUGCCGAACCGAUAAAAGCAGCACACAAAGUUAUUCCAAGCUCUGCAUCGGAAAACCGAAGCAAUUUGCCGGACAAUAAGACUGAAUCAGCACAGGCAAACCAUACAUUGGAGUUUGGGAAAAUAAGCUUCAAGAGGGAAGUCCUACGACGGCAUAAUCACCCCGACAGGAGUAAAGAAGAGUGCCAGGGCCCUGGUGCCAUAGUCUGCGAAGAAGAAGCUGUGCCCGCGCUCUGCGGAUUCCGGGCAAUCUGGGUGGUGCCAUCGCGCAGAAGAAAGGGAAUAGCGUCGCAGCUUGUGGACGCUGCACGGAAAAGCUUCUGUGAAGGCGGCAUGUUGGGGAUCUCACAAUGUGCUUUCACGCCACCAACCUCUGAAGGGAAGGAGCUAGCAUCGACCUACUGCAAGACCAGUGCAUUCUUAGUCUACAGGGAUGGAGAUGUAUAG